UACAGAGGGUGCGAGCGUUAAUCGGAUUUACUGGGCGUAAAGCGUGCGUAGGCGGCUUUUUAAGUCGGAUGUGAAAUCCCCGAGCUUAACUUGGGAAUUGCAUUCGAUACUGGGAAGCUAGAGUAUGGGAGAGGAUGGUAGAAUUCCAGGUGUAGCGGUGAAAUGCGUAGAUAUCUGGAGGAAUACCGGUGGCGAAGGCGGCCCCCUGGACAAAGACUGACGCUCAGGUGCGAAAGCGUGGGGAGCAAACAGG
Molecule: ribosomal RNA, 253 nt
Filed under: uncultured Acinetobacter sp.
Lineage: Bacteria; Pseudomonadati; Pseudomonadota; Gammaproteobacteria; Moraxellales; Moraxellaceae
Description: partial 16S ribosomal RNA
Rfam family: Bacterial small subunit ribosomal RNA
Source: RNAcentral